RNAcentral lists this ribosomal RNA (398 nucleotides) under uncultured eukaryote. RNAcentral's name for it is "bacterial SSU rRNA". It matches the Rfam family "Eukaryotic small subunit ribosomal RNA", at positions 592 to 1013 of the family's 1831-position model. The record is from RNAcentral.
CAAUAGCGUACGUUAAUGUUGUUGCAGUUAAAAGCUCGUAGUCGAAUUUCUGGCCGGGAAAGUCCAGUCUCACUGGUUCGAAUCCUAGGCCAUCCGCUUGAAAUAUUAGUGGUGCUUAACCUCUCCCUCUUAGGAUCAGGCAUUUUACUUUGAAGAAAUUAGAGUGUUUCAGGCAGGCUUUCGCUUGAAUACACCAGCAUGGAAUAAUGGAAUAGGACCUCUAUCCUUUACUGGUUAAAGAUAUAGGUAAUGAUUAACAGGGACAGUUGGGGGCAUUCGUACUGAGGAGUCAGAGGUGAAAUUCUUCGAUUUCUUCAAGACGAACUAAUGCGAAGGCAUCUGCCAAGGAUGUUUUCAUUGAUCAAGAACGAAAGUCAGGGGAUCAAAGACGAUCAGAU